RNA transcript from Solanum lycopersicum (tomato), 2447 nucleotides. It is a transcript of the gene named ARM REPEAT PROTEIN INTERACTING WITH ABF2, with no coding region annotated. NCBI's taxonomy places the organism in Eukaryota, Viridiplantae, Streptophyta, Magnoliopsida, Solanales, Solanaceae. The record is from RefSeq and is a predicted model, not a curated record.
UCAAAGUAAAAUAGAGGAGAGUGUUAACAUUUUAUAUUUUAUAUCCCUAAGCUAGAGCACCACACUCACUCAUUGUACGCUCGCACCACCACUCUUCCAUGGAGAACCAAGCAAAGCGGAGCAAACAAUCUUCAAGUUCCGGGAGGAGAAGCUUGAAGAGAAAGCUCGAAGGAGAUUUUGAAGACGAUCGUAAAGUUUCUUCUCAUGAUGAUGAUGCUCAUCAAGAUCUCGCUUCUGAGGUUCGAACGCAGGUGGAGAUUCUCGAUUCUACUUUCUCUUCGACGGAAGCAGAUCGUGCCUCUGCCAAGACUGCUAUUCAUGUUCUCUGCGAGUUAGCGAAGAACGAGGAAAUUGUGAAUGUGGUUGUAGACUGUGGUGCUGUCCCAGCUUUGGUGAAGCAUCUUCAAGUGCCAUCCCUUGGGAAUCAAGGAGAUGGUGGGCAGAUGCCGUAUGAGCAUGAGGUCGAGAAAGGAAGUGCUUUUACGCUUGGCCUUCUAGCCAUAAAACCGGAGCACCAGCAACUUAUUGUUGAUGCUGGAGCUCUACCUCAUCUUGUGGAUCUGCUGAAAAGACAUAAAACUCUGCAAAAUUCUCGUGCUGUCAAUGGUGUUAUCCGGAGAGCAGCUGAUGCAAUCACUAAUCUUGCCCAUGAAAAUAGUAGCAUCAAAACUCGUGUUAGGAUUGUGGGUGGUAUUCCUCCACUUGUUGAAUUGCUUGAGUUCGUUGAUGCAAAGGUGCAAAGAGCAGCUGCAGGAGCGUUGCGAACUUUGGCUUUUAAAAAUGACGAGAACAAAAAUCAGAUUGUUGAAUGCAAUGCACUCCCUACUCUUAUUCUAAUGCUGCGAUCCGAAGAUACUGCAAUACACUAUGAAGCGGUUGGAGUCAUUGGAAAUUUGGUGCACUCAUCACCAAAUAUCAAAAAGGACGUUCUUCUUGCUGGAGCUUUACAACCCGUUAUUGGGUUACUUAGUUCCUCCUGUCCGGAAAGCCAAAGGGAAGCAGCUUUAUUACUUGGACAAUUUGCAGCAACCGACUCCGACUGCAAGAUUCACAUUGUGCAAAGAGGUGCCGUACCGCCACUGAUUGAGAUGCUUCAAUCUCUGGAUGCUCAACUUAGGGAAAUGUCAGCCUUUGCCCUUGGAAGGUUGGCACAGGACACUCACAAUCAGGCUGGUAUUGCUCAUUGUGGUGGAAUAGUCCCAUUAUUGAAGCUUCUAGAAUCAAAAAAUGGAUCGUUGCAACAUAAUGCUGCAUUUGCUCUUUAUGGGCUUGCUGAUAACGAGGAUAAUGUUACAGAUCUUGUAAAGGUUGGAGGUGUUCAAAAGCUUCAGGAUGGAGAAUUUAUUGUCCAACCAACUAGAGAUUGUGUUGCGAAGACAUUGAAAAGAUUGGAAGAGAAGAUUCAUGGACGGGUAUUAGGCCAUUUAUUGUAUUUGAUGCAUGUUGGGGAAAAGGUUAUUCAAAGACGAGUUGCUCUUGUGCUUGCCCAUCUUUGUUCACCAGAUGACCAAAAGAUGAUAUUUAUUGAUAAUGGUGGAUUGGAAUUGCUUUUAGAGCUUCUAGAAUCAACAAACUUGAAGCACCAAAGAGAUGGUUCUGUAGCUUUAUGCAAGUUGGCUAACAAAGCCAGCUCACUUUCACCCGUUGAUGCAGCCCCUCCAUCUCCUACACCUCAGGUCUAUCUGGGUGAGCUGUAUGUAAAUAAUUCUACGCUAUCUGAUGUGACAUUUUUAGUCGAAGGCAAACGGUUUUAUGCCCACAGAAUUUGUUUACUUGCUUCUUCUGAUGCAUUUCGCGCAAUGUUUGAUGGUGGCUACAGGGAGAGAGAUGCCAAAGAUAUAGAGAUUCCCAACAUUCCAUGGGAUGUUUUUGAGUUGAUGAUGAGGUACAUAUACACGGGAUCUGUUGAUGUUAAUAUGGGUGUUGCAAAGGAUCUUCUAAGGGUUGCUGAUCAAUAUCUUCUUGAGGGCCUUAAGCGUCUGUGCGAGUAUGCAAUUGCCCAGUGGAAAAUGUCUCUCUGAUGUUUGAGUUAUCAGAGGCUUUCAAUGCAUUGUCAUUAAGAAAUGCUUGCAUUGUAUUCACAUUGGAGAAGUUCGACAAAUUAAGUGUCAUGCCAUGGUAUUCGCAAUUGAUUCAACUUAUAUUACCUGAGACACGUGCGUACUUUGCUAGGGUGCUGAGCAGGCCAAUUCAAGCUGACCUCUGAUUUAGGUUCAUUUUUAUUCUUUGAUUAGAUGUAGUAUAUGAUGUAAAUUGUACAGGAAGUGGGUUUUAUUCCACUCGUCUCUAAUUGCAAGAGUUAUGUGUCAUUUCUCAUCGCUUGCAAUUCCAUAUUUGUUGUGACGUUUAAUGUAGCGUAUGAAGUUCAGUUGCAACGCCUGCCAUGCUUCUAAAACUCUUUCACCAAAAACUUACAAAUAAAUUACCGGUUUUAUGAGUUGUAUAGA